Molecule: long non-coding RNA, 1344 nt
Filed under: Equus caballus (horse)
Lineage: Eukaryota; Metazoa; Chordata; Mammalia; Perissodactyla; Equidae
Description: lncRNA (ENSECAG00000045007.1)
Source: RNAcentral
GCCUGGUGGUAGGGAUGGGAGAGGUGGGGAAGGAUUACAAAGAGCAUGAAGAAAUUUCAGGCUGAUGUCUGUGUUCGUUAUCUUGAUUGUGGUGGUGGGUUGGGAUGUAUACUUACAUCAAAACUCAUCAAAUUAUGAAAUUUGUGCAGCUUGUUGUAUAUCAAUUAUACAACAUAUACAAUACAAUGUAUAUCAAUGCAACUAUAAAAAAAAUACUGAUGUCUGGAUCUCAGGCUCCAAGAUUCUGAUUUAAUUGGUGUGGGCAUCAGUAUUGAUUAAAAACUUCCUAUAGGAUUAUGUUGUACAGCCAGAGUUGGUUCCAUGAUUCUAGGUCAUUACAUUUGCCCUGGGCCAGGUACUUUGGGACAGCCCUUCCCCACUUUGUGGACUAGAAUAGAAGGGGAUGGUCCCACAAUACAAAGGGAUGCAAAGUGCUCAGAUCCCUUGCCUCAGUACCCAGGCAUCAGGCCUGGCCACCUGGAAGCUGGAGCUACUUUGACCAAUCACAGAACAGAAGCAUCUCUCCACCCUCAACGUUUAUCUAUCUACUCCAGCCAGCCUGAUGCCUUCUUGUGACUUCACUUUCUUUUCAAAGCUGCCUUCAGUGAGCGUGUUGAUGAUAUUUAAAGCAGAUAAAGAUGUUCGUUGGAAGGAUUUGCAUGUGUAGAGACAGUGUGACUUACCCCAGUCAGUUGCCUCCUAGUAACACUUGUUGGUAAACCAUGGGCUUGCUAAGAAGCUGAUACCAGAUGCUUAGGCUUCAGAGGUAAGGGAGCAACUGUGGAUCCAGAAUCCCAGGAAGUGUAAGAGAAAUGCUCCCCAAUCUGCUGCUCCCAGUGAUGGCAGCACAACUUGACCAGAAGUGUUGACCAGGGAACAUGGCAGCUGAGAACUCCAACUAGGAGUUCCAACUCAUUUUGCCAAAGCUCUUUCUACUUAGCCUGGAGACACGGUGAGAAAGAUAUUCCUUCAAAUUCCAUUCUGUUUUUUGAAAACAAAGCACACAGAUCCUCAAGCUGGACUUCUUGCAUCAUCGAGAGGUAGACACAAGACCAGAAUUUGGCAGUGUCCUCCUCCUUAAAGAGCAACCAGCAGCACAGAGAGCAUUUCUAGAAGUUGGCUAUAAAGACCGUUGAAAUCAACAAGAUUCCACAUUUCAUGAGCAAUAACAUGGGAUCAUACGAAUGCAAAUUCUAUCUGACCCUUCAUAACAACAAGGAGUUGGGGCCCUAAUGAUGAACAAGACCGAGGCACCAUCCUCAGAGAGCCUGCAGUCUGGUGCUCAAGUGCAGGCAAAUCCGCCUUCCUUGAUAAGGGUUAGCAUGAGCAGAGAUGGGUAAGUGG